CACGUAGGCACCAAGCGUUGUCCGGAUUUAUUGGGCGUAAAGAGCUCGUAGGCGGUUCGAUAAGUCGGGUGUGAAAACUUUGGGCUCAACCCAAAGCGUGCAUUCGAUACUGUUGUGACUAGAGUUCGGUAGGGGAGUGGGGAAUUCCUAGUGUAGCGGUGAAAUGCGCAGAUAUUAGGAGGAACACCGGUGGCGAAGGCGCCACUCUGGGCCGAAACUGACGCUGAGGAGCGAAAGCCAGGGGAGCAAACGGG
Molecule: ribosomal RNA, 254 nt
Filed under: uncultured bacterium
Lineage: Bacteria
Description: partial 16S ribosomal RNA
Rfam family: Bacterial small subunit ribosomal RNA
Source: RNAcentral